Non-coding RNA from Nicotiana tabacum (common tobacco), 480 nucleotides. The record is from RefSeq and is a predicted model, not a curated record. Lineage: Eukaryota; Viridiplantae; Streptophyta; Magnoliopsida; Solanales; Solanaceae.
AAAAUGACACGUGGCAUGCAUGACACUUGUUUGGAAAAAAGGACAGAAAGAAACUCCAUCUCCGGCAAUGCUUCCACCUGCCGACGGCUGCGCCACCGCCAAAUUCCCCAAUUCCGGAAACAUUCCUUCUCUGUUAGCGCCUAUUAACAAGGAUCUGAUUACAUUCAGAAAGCAUGGCCUAGAGAAGAAGUAAAGAGAGAUUCAAGGAACAUGCAGAUGAAGAUUCGCAAAUGAGUUUUACUGUAGACCUGGUUGGAAGAGUUUUUCAGAGAAGCAAAUGUGACAGUUGAUUUCUUGGUGAAGAAUGGGUGCUCGUGGAAUUACAACAACAUAUGGAAGCAUUGACUAUCCUUCUUUGUUAGCAGCUAAUGAUUAACAAAGAUUUGGCACAACUUAUUCCUUUAGAUUCAUUAGAGCAAAAUAUUAGCUUUUGUUAGUACUGAAGUAUGGUAAAUCUGUAAUCACAGCUGUUAUGUUGAA